Molecule: ribosomal RNA, 38 nt
Filed under: Jovibarba globifera subsp. hirta
Lineage: Eukaryota; Viridiplantae; Streptophyta; Magnoliopsida; Saxifragales; Crassulaceae
Description: partial 26S ribosomal RNA
Source: RNAcentral
GGGACCCCAGGUCAGGYGGGACUACCCGCUGAGUUUAA